This 550-nucleotide ribosomal RNA is filed under the name uncultured bacterium. RNAcentral's name for it is "bacterial SSU rRNA". It matches the Rfam family "Bacterial small subunit ribosomal RNA", at positions 777 to 1325 of the family's 1533-position model. The record is from RNAcentral.
AAUAGAUACCCUGGUAGUCCACGCCGUAAACGAUGAGUGCUAAGUGUUAGGGGGUUUCCGCCCCUUAGUGCUGCAGCUAACGCAUUAAGCACUCCGCCUGGGGAGUACGGUCGCAAGACUGAAACUCAAAGGAAUUGACGGGGGCCCGCACAAGCGGUGGAGCAUGUGGUUUAAUUCGAAGCAACGCGAAGAACCUUACCAGGUCUUGACAUCCCAUUGACCACUAUGGAGACAUAGUUUUCCCUUCGGGGACAACGGUGACAGGUGGUGCAUGGUUGUCGUCAGCUCGUGUCGUGAGAUGUUGGGUUAAGUCCCGCAACGAGCGCAACCCUUGUUCUUAGUUGCCAUCAUUUAGUUGGGCACUCUAAGGAGACUGCCGGUGACAAACCGGAGGAAGGUGGGGAUGACGUCAAAUCAUCAUGCCCCUUAUGACCUGGGCUACACACGUGCUACAAUGGACGGUACAAACGGUUGCCAACCCGCGAGGGGGAGCUAAUCCGAUAAAACCGUUCUCAGUUCGGAUUGUAGGCUGCAACUCGCCUACAUGAAC